UGCAAAUUCAAAGCCAUAGCAGAAGUGCUCAUGGCAUGGCCCUGUCAGAUUCCAACGAAGCUGUGAAUUCUGCU
This 74-nucleotide ribozyme is filed under the name Crocodylus porosus (Australian saltwater crocodile). RNAcentral describes it as "Mammalian CPEB3 ribozyme (ENSCPRG00005017254.1)". It matches the Rfam family "Mammalian CPEB3 ribozyme". From Rfam's summary of the family: The mammalian CPEB3 ribozyme is a self cleaving RNA located in the second intron of the CPEB3 gene which belongs to a family of genes regulating messenger RNA polyadenylation. This ribozyme is highly conserved and found only in mammals. Lineage: Eukaryota; Metazoa; Chordata; Crocodylia; Crocodylidae. The record is from RNAcentral.